CAGAAUUGGCUUCCUAAGUAUACUGGGAAAGAUAGAAUGGUUAUAGCUAUUGGUACGGCUGCUUUGUUAUGGUCGAUUUGGAAAGCAAGAAAUAAAUCCUGCUUUCAGAGUUCUUUACCUAGGGAUCCUACUGAUAUUAUCGUCUCUUUAUGUUAUGUGUUGGAUUCCUGGGGUGUGCUACAGAAAAGAGGGGUGGAAAAAACUCUUAAGGAAGUGACCAAGAGGUUGGCCCAGAUAGCGAGGGACGUCUUCAAGCGUGCUUACGGGUGGGGCCCAGCUGUACGGAGGCUCUGUUGA
Molecule: ribosomal RNA, 297 nt
Filed under: Triticum aestivum (bread wheat)
Lineage: Eukaryota; Viridiplantae; Streptophyta; Magnoliopsida; Poales; Poaceae
Description: partial small subunit ribosomal RNA
Source: RNAcentral